This 434-nucleotide ribosomal RNA is filed under the name uncultured Lachnospiraceae bacterium. Its description in RNAcentral is "partial 16S ribosomal RNA". It matches the Rfam family "Bacterial small subunit ribosomal RNA", at positions 341 to 792 of the family's 1533-position model. The record is from RNAcentral. Lineage: Bacteria; Bacillati; Bacillota; Clostridia; Lachnospirales; Lachnospiraceae.
ACGGGAGGCAGCAGUGGGGAAUAUUGCACAAUGGGCGAAAGCCUGAUGCAGCGACGCCGCGUGAGUGAAGAAGUAAUUCGUUAUGUAAAGCUCUAUCAGCAGGGAAGAAAAUGACGGUACCUGACUAAGAAGCACCGGCUAAAUACGUGCCAGCAGCCGCGGUAAUACGUAUGGUGCAAGCGUUAUCCGGAUUUACUGGGUGUAAAGGGAGCGUAGGCGGCAGGGCAAGUCUGAUGUGAAAACCCAGGGCUCAACCUUGGGACUGCAUUGGAAACUGUCCAGCUAGAGUGUCGGAGGGGUAAGCGGAAUUCCUAGUGUAGCGGUGAAAUGCGUAGAUAUUAGGAGGAACACCAGUGGCGAAGGCGGCUUACUGGACGACAACUGACGCUGAGGCUCGAAAGCGUGGGGAGCAAACAGGAUUAGAUACCCUGGUA